AGUGUUGAAGUGUGAUGAGUUUGUCAUGUCUCUUCUCUGACUAAAACGUGGAGAAACAUUCAAAUCUCUCUGAUCUCAGCACU
Molecule: small nucleolar RNA, 83 nt
Filed under: Fundulus heteroclitus (mummichog)
Lineage: Eukaryota; Metazoa; Chordata; Actinopteri; Cyprinodontiformes; Fundulidae
Description: Small nucleolar RNA SNORD111 (ENSFHEG00000017512.1)
Source: RNAcentral